Styela clava is the source of this 302-nucleotide non-coding RNA. The record is from RefSeq and is a predicted model, not a curated record. NCBI's taxonomy places the organism in Eukaryota, Metazoa, Chordata, Ascidiacea, Stolidobranchia, Styelidae.
CGCCGCUCACUGUUUUACAGUCCUCUGCUCUCCGUUUAUUUCUUUAUUAUAACCGAGCUUUUUUCUUGACACGUGUACGAUAUGACCGAUCGCCAAGGUCUUUUCAAAAUUGUCGCUGCCGGUGAUAUAUACACUAGUGCAGUUAACCUAUUUUCCACGAAAUCCGAAGGAGAAAUUGCUCAGACAAAACGAAGAUCCAAUGACCAACAAGCUAGAUUAAGAAUUAUUCGUUCAGUUAGGCCAUAACAUAGUACUACAAUGAUUGUUGGUGAGAAAUUUCGCAAUAAAGACUUUACGGAAGG